GGUGGUGGCAGCAUUAUGCCGUGGGCAUGUUUUCCAGCGGCAGGGAAGGGAAGACCAGUUAGGAUCGAGGGAAAGAUAAGCAGAGCAAAAGUACAGAUCCUUGAUGAAACCCUUAAUUGAUGGGGGAAAAAACAAAUCAAUUUUAGACUAAGGCUGUAAUGUAACAAAAUGUGGAAAAAGUACAGGGGUCUGAAUACUUUCUAAAUGCACUGCAGGUAGGGGUAAAAUGACUAGGAUCGAUGGAAGAAGCUGUGUGUGUGUGUGUGUGUGUGUGUGUGCAUAGUCAGUCCAGGAGAGUUAGUGAAAAAAAGGGGUCAAUGAAUGUAGUCCAGGUGUCUUGGGGGCAGAAGCUGUUCACCAAUUAAACACUGGAGUGAUUGAUGUGCAGAAGAUGAAUGUGCAAGUAGAGAUACUGAAGUGCAAAGGAGCAAGAUAGAUUAAUAAGGGGAUAGGCUACUUACAGAUGGGCUAUGUACAGGUGCAGUGAGCUGCUCUGACAGCUGGUGCUUUAAGUUAGUGAGUGAGAUAAGAGUCUCCAGCUUCAGUGAUUUUUGCAAUUCGUUACAGUCAUUGGCAUCAGAGAACUGGAAGGAAAGGCAGCCAAAGGAGGAAUUGGCUUUAGGGGUGACCAGUGAGAUAUACCUGCUGGAGCGCAUGCUAUGGUGACCAGUGAGCUGAGAUAAGGCGGGGCUUAGCAGAGACUUGUAGAUGACCUGGAGCCAGUGGGUUUGGCGACGUAUGAAGCGAGGGCCAGCCAACGAGAGCGUAUAGGUCGCAAUGCUGGGUAGUAUGUGGGGCUUUGGUGACAAAACGGAUGGCACUCUGAUAGACUGCAUCCAAUUUGUUGAGUAGAGUGUUAGAGGCUAUUUUGUAAAUGACAUCGCCGAAGUCGAGGAUCGGUAGGGUUGUCAGUUUUACGAGGGUAUGUUUGGCAGCAUGAGUGAAGGAUGCUUUGUUGCGAAGUAGGAAGCCGAUUUUUAAUUUGGGGAUUGGAGAUGCUUUAAUGUGAGUCUGGAAGGAGAGUUUACAGUCUCUAACCAGACACUUAGGUAUUUGUAGUUGUCCACAUAUUCUAAGUCCGAACUGUCCACUUAGCUAACGUACUCACCAACACCAAUCACAGAUGUGAACCUGUCUGAUGUAAUCCAUUCAUGGUCAUCUGGCAAUAUUGUUGAAAUGCACUGUAAGUUUGUGCCAACUUUAUGGAAGCCCAUUUUACCACCUAUUUGCCGGGUGACGUGUGUGUGUGUGUGUUGCACCCAUAUGCAGACUUCACAACAUGGCAACUGGGGGCGGACUACAAACGUGUUGUCACUGGGCAAUUGUAUAAUCCUCAAAAGUGGGCAUGUAAGUCAUGCAUUACCAAAUCCUCAAGUAAGUCAUGGUGAAUUUACUUACAAAACUCAAGUUUUGGACGAGACUGACUUUUAUGACAAAUUAUCCAAUUUACACUUUGUAGUGAAUUUUGACACUAGAAUACAUUUUUGACUCCUAUAUCGAUGCCACAUUUGCUCUUUAAAGAUGGAAUCCGCAGUAGGGAAAAACGAUGGCACUAGCCGCCCCACCGUCGUUUUUGUUUUGUUGACGAAACAGAGCUGGGGAACGUCAAGGUAAUAACAAUUGCAAUCGGUCCUACAUGCUGCUGUUCUAUCGUGUGUGCAAUGAUGUCCGAGGGACUUCGUUGUUUUACUGUAAUAUCACUAACGGAAGUGGCUGUUAAUCCAUUUAAGAAUUCUAGCUUGAAUUUGACCUUCACCUCUCACUGUGUGUGUGUGUGUAGGUUAACGCAGAGAACACCCCCCACUAUAAGGUGUUAUUCAGUGGUCCUGGCCCCUCCUCUCUCCUAGUGGGAUACCUGCCUCAGACCAGGCUGGAACGGGUCACUGGAACCAGGCCGGAGAUCCCCACCCUAGAACAGUACUUCACACACUUUGAUGGAGAGCGGUUCAUCAUGCAGCCCUGGCUCCAAGAGAUCUUCCCUGAAGACUGACAGACAGGGACCACAAGAGUGUGUGUGUGUCAGUGGGACACCUAACUGGACGGUAGAUGUAAAGAAAAGGACAGCUCCUCUCUCUGUUCCCCCCCACAACAAGAUCAAUUUAAUUUCACAGUGAUUUAGUGGAGGGGGGAAAAGGCUUUUACACCUUUAGUCACCUACUGCGGAAAAAAUGCAUUGAAAUUAUAGGAAGCCUUAUUUUAUUAGCUGCAAACGGUGAUCAGCGUUUACCCACCUACACUGUUUUAACCACUACAUCAUUGAAGAUGUCAUACAGUAUUUCAUACCAGAACAAAAUUAAAGACAGAAAAUAUAAUACAGUUCAUUAUCAUAAAGACCUCAAACUUGAAUCAAGAACAGCCACAUUUACAUAAUUUAUUGACAUUCAUGUUCAUGGACAGAAGCUUUGAGGAAAAGCUUAAAUAAAUAUUAUUCUAAACAAAACAA
Molecule: long non-coding RNA, 2443 nt
Organism: Oncorhynchus masou masou (cherry salmon)
Lineage: Eukaryota; Metazoa; Chordata; Actinopteri; Salmoniformes; Salmonidae
Exons: 2
Source: RefSeq, a predicted model, not a curated record